UGUGAAUCUAUCAGAGGACAGACGUAUGAGAUCUAUUUGUGAAAUGGAGGCUGUUCGAACAAGGGAGGGGCUCGUGUUUCAACAGCUAUUGUUUUCCUCCAAAACCUUUCUUUACGUGCUACCAUUAGUACAUAGACUAUUUAAUAGAUGCUUCACCACUAUUUUGAUAGAGUUUAUGAGCGAUUGCAUGUGGAUAAGAGAUGUCCAAAUCACAAAUGCUGUCAGAUUAUAUUUAUGUUUCAUUGUCGUCCCUUGACCAUAAUUACCAAGCGAAGAGCUACCGUUGCUGUGUUUUCAAGAUAGUUUUUGAUCGCCCUUUAGAUGUCGUUUAGUUGUCUUGUGAACGUAGAUGUAACUAGCUACGACGAAGGCGGAACAUGGUAGCUAAAUCACUGUUUGAAGAGUUGCUCUACUGAAUGAAUGAAACUUGUGUUUUCCACGAAUUCUCUGUGGAGUUUCUGGCAUCGUGAUGAAGUAGAGUAAUUUCCUGGAUAUAAACCCAUUGAGGGUAGACCACAUUCGCGAUGUUAAAGCGAGUUCUCUGGUUAAAUUGACAACUAAACGCGUUAUUACUAGGUAUUUUUGAAAGUUUCAUUGUAAGUACCGUGAUGGGAGUUACGAGCGAUGGGACCGGUUAUUCCCUUAGCAGCCACGGAAAAACUAAUUGUAUUGUUUGUUUUCACAGUAAUUAGGAAGUAAGCACAAUACAUUGGAAUAAUUUAUAAUAUUUCAAAGUCAAAUCAAGUAAAUAUAUAAAUAAAGGCAAAAUUAUGAAAUUUGCUAAAAAUAUUAAUGCAUCGGGUGUUAUCUAAAAUUUCAAGAUGAAAAUAAAAGUUGAUUCUAAUUAUGUUUUCUGUGCUGUGUCAAAUUACGAUUUUCGGUCUCUCUUUUAUAAAGUUUUAUUAUUAGUAUUAUUACUAUCAUUAUCUAUUUUGCUUGAUUGUCUUUUGUUCUAGUUUGUUAGCUAAUUACGGUACCAAAGCCACGAAGACAUAAAGGGUUUAUUUCCAUUAAAAAAUUUUUUUUCGUUCUCUGGCGUUUUGGCAAUUAUAUAAAUAUUAAAUUUACAGGCGCAGCCAUUUUUGUCUUUUUGUUUUAUUGUGUUUGUAGGCUUGAAUUUGCCCCUAAAAAGUCACGUGACUUCUUAGAGCAAGUCGCGAUAAAAGCCUUCGUUGUUACGGAAAUCAUAACAAAUUUCUGGUUCCUCAUGCUGCUUUUGUUGUAGUCUUUGUGAAGGUGGAAAUAUAUGAGCUAAAAUCAUUUUCGCCAUUUCAAAGCUUAACUCCAUUGCCUGGAAAUAUAAGUACCGCAUGUGUUGAUAUCAUACAUGACUUUGAAAAAAAAAAAUAGAAAUUUAGAUAACUGUUAAAGCGCGGACAGUCUAGGAAGUGUAGGUGCGCGAAAAUUACAAUGUAAAAACUUCCCCGCUCAAAGUAAUAAGCCAUUGGCAAGCCAAGCAAGCCACCACAAUGUGGAUAAAAUUACACCUUCAAAUAUGGUUGAACUCGGAAAAUCCUUUUGUCGUAAUCCGCAGUGUUUCGUCUUGGUGGGUAUCGAAUAAAUAAAUAAAUAAAUAAGCGCGUAUAGAAACAAACACUUUGUUUAUGAACCUAACACGCGUUUCAGAGACCAGGAUUCAGCCAUUUCUACGUUACCUAUGGAACAGUGCGGGUUGAGAUAAAUUUAUUCUCGGGUGCGGCCUUGAUUGAAAUAGAGGGCGCUGAUUGGUCGAGUGGCAGUGAUCAUUUUCUUAAUUGAAAUAGAUGUACAUCGUAAAUACCAAUUACUUGAAAAGGGUUUUUAAUUUAUUUUCCCUGUAUUAGUUUUUUGUGGUCAGGCAAGAACUUUUUAUUGCCUUCUUAUGGAGUAAGGUAUGAGGCAAUAAAGCUCUUUGAUUGACAAUGAAAGCAAUUAACUAUCGAUGAUUUUUCAAAUUAAAAGCAACAAAACACAAGAAGAGAAGGACGAGCAGUGGCAACAACAA
Molecule: long non-coding RNA, 1984 nt
Organism: Nematostella vectensis (starlet sea anemone)
Lineage: Eukaryota; Metazoa; Cnidaria; Anthozoa; Actiniaria; Edwardsiidae
Exons: 2
Source: RefSeq, a predicted model, not a curated record